RNAcentral lists this ribosomal RNA (468 nucleotides) under uncultured bacterium. RNAcentral's name for it is "partial 16S ribosomal RNA". It matches the Rfam family "Bacterial small subunit ribosomal RNA", at positions 28 to 507 of the family's 1533-position model. The record is from RNAcentral.
GACGAACGCUGGCGGCGUGCUUAACACAUGCAAGUCGAACGGAAAGGCCCUGCUUUUGUGGGGUGCUCGAGUGGCGAACGGGUGAGUAACACGUGAGUAACCUGCCCUUGACUUUGGGAUAACUUCAGGAAACUGGGGCUAAUACCGGAUAGGAGCUCCUGCUGCAUGGUGGGGGUUGGAAAGUUUCGGCGGUUGGGGAUGGACUCGCGGCUUAUCAGCUUAUUGGGGGGGUAGUGGCUUACCAAGGCUUUGACGGGUAGCCGGCCUGAGAGGGUGACCGGCCACAUUGGGACUGAGUUACGGCCCAGACUCCUACGGGAGGCAGCAGUGGGGAAUAUUGCACAAUGGGCGGAAGCCUGAGGCAGCAACGCCGCGUGCGGGAUGACGGCCUUCGGGUGGUAAACCGCUUUCGCCUGGGACGAAGCGUUAGUGACGGUAAUGGGUAAAGAAGCACCGGCUAACUACGUG